RNAcentral lists this ribosomal RNA (506 nucleotides) under uncultured Entrophospora. Its description in RNAcentral is "bacterial SSU rRNA". It matches the Rfam family "Eukaryotic small subunit ribosomal RNA", at positions 591 to 1092 of the family's 1831-position model. The record is from RNAcentral. Lineage: Eukaryota; Fungi; Glomeromycota; Glomeromycetes; Entrophosporales; Entrophosporaceae.
CCAAUAGCGUAUAUUAAAGUUGUUGCGGUUAAAAAGCUCGUAGUUGAAUUUCGGAAUUGAUGCAUCGGUCGUGCCUUAAGGGGCAUGAACUGGUGUAGCCAAUUUCUCACCUUCUGGUGAAUUGUUGAUGUUCUUAAUGGGUGUCUCAAUGAACUAGAAUUUUUUACUUUGAAAAAAUUAGAGUGUUUAAAGCAGGCAUUAAUUUGCUUGAAUACAUUAGCAUGGAAUAAUGAAAUAGGACAGUGGUUCCGUUUUGUUGGUUUCUAGGAUCACGUAAUGAUUAAUAGGGACAGUUGGGGGAAUUAGUAUUCAAUUGUCAGAGGUGAAAUUCUUGGAUUUAUUGAAGACUAACUAUUGCGAAAGCAUUUGCCAAGGAUGUUUUCAUUAAUCAAGAACGAAAGUUAGGGGAUCAAAGACGAUUAAGUACGUCGUAGUCCUAACCAUAAACUAUACCGACUAGGAAUCAGACGAUGUUAAUUUUUUAAUGACUCGUUUGGUACCUUAUG